ACGUAGGGUGCGAGCGUUAAUCGGAAUUACUGGGCGUAAAGCGUGCGCAGGCGGUUCGCCAAGUCAGCUGUGAAAUCUCCGAGCUUAACUCGGAACGGUCAGCUGAUACUGUUUUGCUAGAGUGCAGAAAGGGCAAUCGGAAUUCUUGGUGUAGCAGUGAAAUGCGUAGAUAUCAAGAGGAACACCUGAGGCGAAGGCGGGUUGCUAGGCUGACACUGACGCUGAGGCGCGAAAGCCAGGGGAGCAAACGGGA
Molecule: ribosomal RNA, 253 nt
Filed under: uncultured prokaryote
Description: partial 16S ribosomal RNA
Rfam family: Bacterial small subunit ribosomal RNA
Source: RNAcentral